This 468-nucleotide ribosomal RNA is filed under the name uncultured bacterium. RNAcentral describes it as "partial 16S ribosomal RNA". It matches the Rfam family "Bacterial small subunit ribosomal RNA", at positions 28 to 507 of the family's 1533-position model. The record is from RNAcentral.
GACGAACGCUGGCGGCGUGCUUAACACAUGCAAGUCGAACGGAAAGGCCCUGCUUUUGUGGGGUGCUCGAGUGGCGAACGGGUGAGUAACACGUGAGUAACCUGCCCUUGACUUUGGGAUAACUUCAGGAAACUGGGGCUAAUACCGGAUAGGAGCUCCUGCUGCAUGGUGGGGGUUGGAAAGUUUCGGCGGUUGGGGAUGUACUCGCGGCUUAUCAGCCUGUUGGUGGGGUAGUGGCUUACCAAGGCUUUGACGGGUAGCCGGCCUGAGAGGGUGACCGGCCACAUUGGGACUGCGAUACGGCCCAGACUCCUACGGGAGGCAGCAGUGGGGAAUAUUGCACAAUGGGCGGAAGCCUGAUGCAGCAACGCCGCGUGCGGGAUGACGGCCUUCGGGUUGUAAACCGCUUUCGCCUGUGACGAAGCGUGAGUGACGGUAAUGGGUAAAGAAGCACCGGCUAACUACGUG